GGGGAUCGAAAGACCUUAUGCUUUUGGAGCGGCCGAUGUCUGAUUAGCUAGUUGGUAAGGUAAUGGCUUACCAAGGCAACGAUCAGUAGUUGGUCUGAGAGGACGACCAGCCACACUGGGACUGAGACACGGCCCAGACUCCUACGGGAGGCAGCAGUGGGGAAUUUUGGACAAUGGGCGCAAGCCUGAUCCAGCAAUGCCGCGUGAGUGAAGAAGGCCUUCGGGUUGUAAAGCUCUUUCAGUUGAGAAGAAAAGAUUGUGACUAAUAAUUGCAAUUCAUGACGGUAUCAACAGAAGAAGCACCGGCUAACUACGUGCCAGCAGCCGCGGUAAUACGUAGGGUGCGAGCGUUAAUCGGAAUUACUGGGCGUAAAGGGUGCGCAGGCGGUUCUGUAAGUCAGAUG
Molecule: ribosomal RNA, 404 nt
Filed under: uncultured Nitrosomonas sp.
Lineage: Bacteria; Pseudomonadati; Pseudomonadota; Betaproteobacteria; Nitrosomonadales; Nitrosomonadaceae
Description: bacterial SSU rRNA
Rfam family: Bacterial small subunit ribosomal RNA
Source: RNAcentral